GAUGAACGCUAGCGGCAGGCUUAAUACAUGCAAGUCGAGGGACAGCACAGGUAGCAAUACUGGGUGGUAACCGGCAAACGGGUGCGGAACACGUACACAACCUUCCUUUAAGUGGGGGAUAGCCCAGAGAAAUUUGGAUUAAUACCCCGUAAUAUAGUUGAAUGGCUUCAUUUGAUUAUUAUAGCUACGGCGCUUAAUGAUGGGUGUGCGGCUGAUUAGAUAGUUGGCGGGGUAACGGCCCACCAAGUAUACGAUCAGUAGUUGAUGUGAGAGCAUGAUCAGCCACACGGGCACUGAGACACGGGCCCGACUCCUACGGGAGGCAGCAGUAAGGAAUAUUGGUCAAUGGACGCAAGUCUGAACCAGCCAUGCCGCGUGAAGGAUUAAGGUCCUCUGGAUUGUAAACUUCUUUUAUUUGGGACGAAAAAGGGCCUUUCUAGGUCAACUGACGGUACCAGAUGAAUAAGCACCGGCUAACUCCGUGCCAGCCGCCGCUGUAA
This 500-nucleotide ribosomal RNA is filed under the name uncultured bacterium. RNAcentral describes it as "partial 16S ribosomal RNA". It matches the Rfam family "Bacterial small subunit ribosomal RNA", at positions 28 to 523 of the family's 1533-position model. The record is from RNAcentral.